AGGGAAAGGCGAAAAGAACCCCGGCGAGGGGAGUGAAAAAGAACCUGAAACCGUGUACGUACAAGCAGUGGGAGCACGCUUAGGCGUGUGACUGCGUACCUUUUGUAUAAUGGGUCAGCGACUUAUAUUCUGUAGCAAGGUUAACCGAAUAGGGGAGCCGAAGGGAAACCGAGUCUUAACUGGGCGUUAAGUUGCAGGGUAUAGACCCGAAACCCGGUGAUCUAGCCAUGGGCAGGUUGAAGGUUGGGUAACACUAACUGGAGGACCGAACCGACUAAUGUUGAAAAAUUAGCGGAUGACUUGUGGCUGGGGGUGAAAGGCCAAUCAAACCGGGAGAUAGCUGGUUCUCCCCGAAAGCUAUUUAGGUAGCGCCUCGUGAAUUCAUCUCCGGGGGUAGAGCACUGUUUCGGCAAGGGGGUCAUCCCGACUUACCAACCCGAUGCAAACUGCGAAUACCGGAGAAUGUUAUCACGGGAGACACACGGCGGGUGCUAACGUCCGUCGUGAAGAGGGAAACAACCCAGACCGCCAGCUAAGGUCCCAAAGUCAUGGUUAAGUGGGAAACGAUGUGGGAAGGCCCAGACAGCCAGGAUGUUGGCUUAGAAGCAGCCAUCAUUUAAAGAAAGCGUAAUAGCUCACUGGUCGAGUCGGCCUGCGCGGAAGAUGUAACGGGGCUAAACCAUGCACCGAAGCUGCGGCAGCGACGCUGAUGCGUUGUUGGGUAGGGGAGCGUUCUGUAAGCCUGCGAAGGUGUGCUGUGAGGCAUGCUGGAGGUAUCAGAAGUGCGAAUGCUGACAUAAGUAACGAUAAAGCGGGUGAAAAGCCCGCUCGCCGGAAGACCAAGGGUUCCUGUCCAACGUUAAUCGGGGCAGGGUGAGUCGACCCCUAAGGCGAGGCCGAAAGGCGUAGUCGAUGGGAAACAGGUUAAUAUUCCUGUACUUGGUGUUACUGCGAAGGGGGGACGGAGAAGGCUAUGUUGGCCGGGCGACGGUUGUCCCGGUUUAAGCGUGUAGGCUGGUUUUCCAGGCAAAUCCGGAAAAUCAAGGCUGAGGCGUGAUGACGAGGCACUGCGGUGCUGAAGCAACAAAUGCCCUGCUUCCAGGAAAAGCCUCUAAGCAUCAGGUAACAUCAAAUCGUACCCCAAACCGACACAGGUGGUCAGGUAGAGAAUACCAAGGCGCUUGAGAGAACUCGGGUGAAGGAACUAGGCAAAAUGGUGCCGUAACUUCGGGAGAAGGCACGCUGAUAUGUAGGUGAAGUCCCUCGCGGAUGGAGCUGAAAUCAGUCGAAGAUACCAGCUGGCUGCAACUGUUUAUUAAAAACACAGCACUGUGCAAACACGAAAGUGGACGUAUACGGUGUGACGCCUGCCCGGUGCCGGAAGGUUAAUUGAUGGGGUUAGCGCAAGCGAAGCUCUUGAUCGAAGCCCCGGUAAACGGCGGCCGUAACUAUAACGGUCCUAAGGUAGCGAAAUUCCUUGUCGGGUAAGUUCCGACCUGCACGAAUGGCGUAAUGAUGGCUAGGCUGUCUCCACCCGAGACUCAGUGAAAUUGAACUCGCUGUGAAGAUGCAGUGUACCCGCGGCAAGACGGAAAGACCCCGUGAACCUUUACUAUAGCUUGACACUGAACAUUGAGCCUUGAUGUGUAGGAUAGGUGGGAGGCUU
This 1666-nucleotide ribosomal RNA is filed under the name Escherichia coli. Its description in RNAcentral is "partial 23S ribosomal RNA". It matches the Rfam family "Bacterial large subunit ribosomal RNA", at positions 506 to 2157 of the family's 2925-position model. The record is from RNAcentral. Lineage: Bacteria; Pseudomonadati; Pseudomonadota; Gammaproteobacteria; Enterobacterales; Enterobacteriaceae.